UAUUAUAUUUUAUUCUGUAUAUGAUGUAAUUUAAAUGUUUUUAAACGGACAUAUAUUAUUCAAUCGAUGAAGAAAUAAUAUGUGUACAAUUUCCCACAUUGCUUAGAAAAAUUGGACAAUGGUUCAGAGCCAUAUUAUAAAAAUGA
RNAcentral lists this small RNA (146 nucleotides) under Arabidopsis thaliana (thale cress). RNAcentral describes it as "ATSL045810". The record is from RNAcentral. Lineage: Eukaryota; Viridiplantae; Streptophyta; Magnoliopsida; Brassicales; Brassicaceae.